Molecule: transfer RNA, 82 nt
Filed under: Dendronephthya gigantea
Lineage: Eukaryota; Metazoa; Cnidaria; Anthozoa; Malacalcyonacea; Nephtheidae
Description: tRNA-Ser
Rfam family: tRNA
About the family: Transfer RNA (tRNA) molecules are approximately 80 nucleotides in length. Their secondary structure includes four short double-helical elements and three loops (D, anti-codon, and T loops). Further hydrogen bonds mediate the characteristic L-shaped molecular structure. tRNAs have two regions of fundamental functional importance: the anti-codon, which is responsible for specific mRNA codon recognition, and the 3' end, to which the tRNAs corresponding amino acid is attached (by aminoacyl-tRNA synthetases). tRNAs cope with the degeneracy of the genetic code in two manners: having more than one tRNA (with a specific anti-codon) for a particular amino acid; and 'wobble' base-pairing, i.e. permitting non-standard base-pairing at the 3rd anti-codon position.
Source: RNAcentral
GUAGUCGUGGUCGAGUGGUUAAGGCGACAGACUUGAAAUCUGUUGGGAUAUUCCCGCGCAGGUUCAAAUCCUGCCGACUACG